UGGUAAACUCCAUCUAAGGCUAAAUAUGACCACGAGACCGAUAGCGAACAAGUACCGUGAGGGAAAGUUGAAAAGCACUUUGAAGAGAGAGUUCAAGAGUACGUGAAACCGUUUAGGGGUAAACCUGAGAAACCCGAAAGGUCGAAGGGAGAAAUUCAUUCGCGUUUCGCAGUCGGCGUGAGGCGAUCGAGUGACGGAACGCGUCUUCGGACGUUUUCUGCACCUUUUGUUUUUCGAUCCGAUAGCGAACGCGUGCACUUUUCUCCUGGUAGGACGUCGCGAUCCGUUGGGUGUCGGUCUACGGCUCACGGUGGAGCCCGGAUGUACGGCUUGCCGUCACGUCCGGACCCGUGUGUCCCGGCUGACUCGCUCGACGGUAUACGAAUGGUUUAAGGCCGCUCUCGCGAGCGUUCNGCUCGUCGCAAGCGCGUC
This 432-nucleotide ribosomal RNA is filed under the name Liophloeus lentus. Its description in RNAcentral is "partial large subunit ribosomal RNA". It matches the Rfam family "Eukaryotic large subunit ribosomal RNA", at positions 297 to 628 of the family's 3401-position model. The record is from RNAcentral. Lineage: Eukaryota; Metazoa; Arthropoda; Insecta; Coleoptera; Curculionidae.